GCUGAAUAAUCUUUUUAAUUUUUAUUUGAUUUCUUAUUUUCAAUUUUUUUAACUUUUUCUACUGGUUUUUUUGCGGGAAAUAUUUUUUUAAUAUUCGAUCACAGUGCCAAAAAUAUGCAUGUAAAAUUUUAGACCAAUCGGAAAACGUUUACCCACUCAAAUGAAUUUUUUUCUAAAAAAAUUUCUGGGUAAAAACUGUUGUUUAAUGUUUUUACAAGGAGAUCAGUUUAGAAAUCACCCAAGAACACCCAAAACGCCCAAAAUCUGAUACCAUAU
This 276-nucleotide long non-coding RNA is filed under the name Gossypium raimondii (Peruvian cotton). RNAcentral describes it as "long non-coding RNA (GRAI_LNC007753)". The record is from RNAcentral. Lineage: Eukaryota; Viridiplantae; Streptophyta; Magnoliopsida; Malvales; Malvaceae.